This 253-nucleotide ribosomal RNA is filed under the name uncultured bacterium. Its description in RNAcentral is "partial 16S ribosomal RNA". It matches the Rfam family "Bacterial small subunit ribosomal RNA", at positions 524 to 776 of the family's 1533-position model. The record is from RNAcentral.
UACGUAGGUGGCUAACGUUGUCCGGAUUUACUGGGCGUAAAGCGCGCGCAGGCGGUCGUUCAAGUCGGGUGUGAAAGCCCCCGGCUCAACUGGGGAGGGUCACUCGAUACUGAUCGACUUGAAGGCAGAAGAGGGAAGCGGAAUUCCCGGUGUAGUGGUGAAAUGCGUAGAUAUCGGGAGGAACACCAGUGGCGAAGGCGGCUUUCUGGUCUGUUCUUGACGCUGAGGCGCGAAAGCUAGGGUAGCAAACGGG